CUACGGGCCGCUGCAGUGGGGAAUAUUGCACAAUGGGGGGAACCCUGAUGCAGCAACGCCGCGUAGAGGAUGACGCAUUUCGGUGUGUAAACUCCUUUUAUAUGUCAAGAAAAUGACGGUAGCAUAUGAAUAAGCACCGGCUAACUCCGUGCCAGCAGCCGCGGUAAUACGGAGGGUGCAAGCGUUACUCGGAAUCACUGGGCGUAAAGGACGCGUAGGCGGGUUGGAAAGUCAGGUGUGAAAUCCUACAGCUUAACUGUAGAACUGCACUUGAAACUUCUAAUCUAGAGUAUGGGAGGGGGAGAUGGAAUUAGUGGUGUAGGGGUAAAAUCCGUAGAUAUCACUAGGAAUACCUAAAGCGAAGGCGAUCUCCUGGAACAUUACUGACGCUGAGGCGUGAAAGCGUGGGGAGCAAACAGGAUUAGAUACCCGUGUAGUC
RNAcentral lists this ribosomal RNA (439 nucleotides) under uncultured bacterium. RNAcentral describes it as "partial 16S ribosomal RNA". It matches the Rfam family "Bacterial small subunit ribosomal RNA", at positions 339 to 795 of the family's 1533-position model. The record is from RNAcentral.